This is a long non-coding RNA of Herpailurus yagouaroundi (jaguarundi), 712 nucleotides long. RefSeq lists it as uncharacterized. The record is from RefSeq and is a predicted model, not a curated record. The transcript has 4 exons. Lineage: Eukaryota; Metazoa; Chordata; Mammalia; Carnivora; Felidae.
CGAGAUCAUGACCUGAGCCUAAGUCGGACGCUCAACCGACUGAGCCACCCAGGUUUAACCAAUGAGGAUAUACGUCACCUUCCACGUUGGCCACCCCUCCUGUGUUUAAACACGGCCACCCCAGCUCCUUGGGUUCAGCAGACUUCCGGGACAAUGCCUACCCCAUCUUACUGCCCACGCCCACCGCACCAUGCCUGGACAACCGCAGCCCGUGUUCUCCUCCGGUUCUAGCAAUCCACCCCCUUCCUCUCCGAAUGGAACUCAGUGUGGUGAGGCAGAACAUCAAAGUUCAUUUUUGUUUCUCUUGGAGCUGCAACACUGUGAGAUGGAUGGGGUGAGCCCUGCAUGACAGACGGGACCCAGAGAAUGGGAAAGGUCACCAGCUUACCCAGACCAAGGAGAGGCUUUUCCUGCUGGCUUCAAAGAAAGUAAAUUUCUAGGCCAUGUUAGGACCUGAAGGUGGCCUUGAGGAGAUGAAUGGACUGUCAGCCAGCGAAGAAACAGGGACCUCAGUACUGCAACCAAAACUCAAAAUCUACCAACAACCUCAAGGAGGAUGAAAGGAGAGCCCAGACUCAGAAAGAACUCAGUCCAGCCAACACGUUGAUUUUAGCCUCAUAAGACCCUGAGCGGAAAAUCCAGUUGUUCUGUGCCAAAACUUCUGACCUAUGAAAACUAUGACAUAAUAAAUGGGUGUUGGUUUAGCCUCCAA